RNAcentral lists this transfer RNA (88 nucleotides) under Parcubacteria group bacterium. Its description in RNAcentral is "tRNA-Leu". It matches the Rfam family "tRNA". Rfam says of the family: Transfer RNA (tRNA) molecules are approximately 80 nucleotides in length. Their secondary structure includes four short double-helical elements and three loops (D, anti-codon, and T loops). The record is from RNAcentral.
GCCGGGAUGGCGGAACUAGGUAGACGCGCUUGGUUUAGGACCAAGUAGGAGUAAUCCUGUGCAGGUUCGAUUCCUGUUCCCGGCACCA